AUCAGUUUUUGGUGAAAAAUUUGAUACGGGGGGGGUAUACCCUAAAAAUGAAAAAUCUCAAACUUUGGAGGUCCAUAUCUCGGCUUCUAUGGGUCCUAUCGGGAAAAUUCCAACGGUUUUGACUUAGUUUCGUCCUUCUGAAUCCAACGAGACCAUCCGCAAGGUCGUAGCUCCCAUAUUAGCUGAGAUCUCGCAUUUUUAUAGCCCAUUUUUGGGCUCAAAAACGGGGUCAAAAAUUGACUUUUUUCCGAAUUUUCAAAGUGCUAUAAUUCCACUUGUUCUGGUCAAAUUCUGUUAUAACCCGGUGUUUUCGUAAUAUUGGUGAUAAGAAUAAGCCGCUGAUAGGGGUUUCUCUAGCUAUUUUCGGGUUUAAAGAAAAUCGAUUUUUCGCUUAUUCAAAGUGCUAUAAUUCCGUUAGUUUUUCUCGAAACUCAUUAUAACCCGGUGUUUUCGUGUUGCAGGUGAUGGAAACAAGCCGCUGGUAUAGUUAGUUCAAAUUCGAAAAAAAUCAGUUUUUGGUGAAAAAUUUGAUACGGGGGGGUAUACCCUAAAAAUGAAAAAUCUCAAACUUUGGAGGUCCAUAUCUCGGCUUCUAUGGGUCCUAUCGGGAAAAUUCCAACGGUUUUGACUUAGUUUCGUCCUUCUGAAUCCAACGAGACCAUCCGCAAGGUCGUAGCUCCCAUAUUAGCUGAGAUCUCGCAUUUUUAUAGCCCAUUUUUGGGCUCAAAAACGGGGUCAAAAAUUGACUUUUUUCCGAAUUUUCAAAGUGCUAUAAUUCCACUUGUUCUGGUCGAAUUCUGUUAUAACCCGGUGUUUUCGUAAUAUUGGUGAUAAAAAUAAGUCGCUGAUAGGGGUUUCUCUAGCUAUUUUCGGGUUUAAAGAAAAUCGAUUUUUCGCAUAUUCAAAGUGCUAUAAUUCCGUUAGUUUUUCUCGAAACUCAUUAUAACCCGGUGUUUUCGUGUUGCAGGUGAUGGAAACAAGCCGCUGGUAUAGUUAGUUCAAAUUCGAAAAAAAUCAGUUUUUGGUGAAAAAUUUGAUACGGGGGGGUAUACCCUAAAAAUGAAAAAUCUCAAACUUUGGAGGUCCAUAUCUCGGCUUCUAUGGGUCCUAUCGGAAAAAUUCCAACGGUUUUGACUUAGUUUCGUCCUUCUGAAUCCAACGAGACCAUCCGCAAGGUCGUAGCUUCAAUAUUAGCUGAGAUCUCGCAUUUUUAUAGCCCAUUUUUGGGCUCAAAAACGGGGUCAAAAAUUGACUUUUUUCCGAAUUUUCAAAGUGCUAUAAUUCCACUUGUUCUGGUCGAAUUCUGUUAUAACCCGGUGUUUUCGUAAUAUUGGUGAUAAGAAUAAGUCGCUGAUAGGGGUUUCUCUAGCUAUUUUCGGGUUUAAAGAAAAUCGAUUUUUCGCAUAUUCAAAGUGCUAUAAUUCCGUUAGUUUUUCUCGAAACUCAUUAUAACCCGGUGUUUUCGUGUUGCAGGUGAUGGAAACAAGCCGCUGGUAUAGUUAGUUCAAAUUCGAAAAAAAUCAGUUUUUGGUGAAAAAUUUGAUACGGGGGGGUAUACCCUAAAAAUGAAAAAUCUCAAACUUUGGAGGUCCAUAUCUCGGCUUCUAUGGGUCCUAUCGGGAAAAUUCCAACGGUUUUGACUUAGUUUCGUCCUUCUGAAUCCAACGAGACCAUCCGCAAGGUCGUAGCUCCCAUAUUAGCUGAGAUCUCGCAUUUUUAUAGCCCAUUUUUGGGCUCAAAAACGGGGUCAAAAAUUGACUUUUUUCCGAAUUUUCAAAGUGCUAUAAUUCCACUUGUUCUGGUCAAAUUCUGUUAUAACCCGGUGUUUUCGUAAUAUUGGUGAUAAGAAUAAGCCGCUGAUAGGGGUUUCUCUAGCUAUUUUCGGGUUUAAAGAAAAUCGAUUUUUCGCUUAUUCAAAGUGCUAUAAUUCCGUUAGUUUUUCUCGAAACUCAUUAUAACCCGGUGUUUUCGUGUUGCAGGUGAUGGAAACAAGCCGCUGGUAUAGUUAGUUCAAAUUCGAAAAAAAUCAGUUUUUGGUGAAAAAUUUGAUACGGGGGGGUAUACCCUAAAAAUGAAAAAUCUCAAACUUUGGAGGUCCAUAUCUCGGCUUCUAUGGGUCCUAUCGGGAAAAUUCCAACGGUUUUGACUUAGUUUCGUCCUUCUGAAUCCAACGAGACCAUCCGCAAGGUCGUAGCUCCCAUAUUAGCUGAGAUCUCGCAUUUUUAUAGCCCAUUUUUGGGCUCAAAAACGGGGUCAAAAAUUGACUUUUUUCCGAAUUUUCAAAGUGCUAUAAUUCCACUUGUUCUGGUCGAAUUCUGUUAUAACCCGGUGUUUUCGUAAUAUUGGUGAUAAGAAUAAGCCGCUGAUAGGGGUUUCUCUAGCUAUUUUCGGGUUUAAAGAAAAUCGAUUUUUCGCAUAUUCAAAGUGCUAUAAUUCCGUUAGUUUUUCUCGAAACUCAUUAUAACCCGGUGUUUUCGUGUUGCAGGUGAUGGAAACAAGCCGCUGGUAUAGUUAGUUCAAAUUCGAAAAAAAUCAGUUUUUGGUGAAAAAUUUGAUACGGGGGGGUAUACCCUAAAAAUGAAAAAUCUCAAACUUUGGAGGUCCAUAUCUCGGCUUCUAUGGGUCCUAUCGGGAAAAUUCCAAUGGUUUUGACUUAGUUUCGUCCUUCUGAAUCCAACGAGACUAUCCGCAAGGUCGUAGCUCCCAUAUUAGCUGAGAUCUCGCAUUUUUAUAGCCCAUUUUUGGGCUCAAAAACGGGGUCAAAAAUUGACUUUUUUCCGAAUUUUCAAAGUGCUAUAAUUCCACUUGUUCUGGUCGAAUUCUGUUAUAACCCGGUGUUUUCGUAAUAUUGGUGAUAAGAAUAAGCCGCUGAUAGGGGUUUCUCUAGCUAUUUUCGGGUUUAAAGAAAAUCGAUUUUUCGCUUAUUCAAAGUGCUAUAAUUCCGUUAGUUUUUCUUGAAACUCAUUAUAACCCGGUGUUUUCGUGUUGCAGGUGAUGGAAACAAGCCGCUGGUAUAGUUAGUUCAAAUUCGAAAAAAAUCAGUUUUUGGUGAAAAAUUUGAUACGGGGGGGGUAUACCCUAAAAAUGAAAAAUCUUAAACUUUGGAGGUCCAUAUCUCGGCUUCUAUGGGUCCUAUCGGGAAAAUUCCAACGGUUUUGACUUAGUUUCGUCCUUCUGAAUCCAACGAGACCAUCCGCAAGGUCGUAGCUCCCAUAUUAGCUGAGAUCUCGCAUUUUUAUAGCCCAUUUUUGGGCUCAAAAACGGGGUCAAAAAUUGACUUUUUUCCGAAUUUUCAAAGUGCUAUAAUUCCACUUGUUCUGGUCGAAUUCUGUUAUAAUCCGGUGUUUUCGUAAUAUUGGUGAUAAGAAUAAGUCGCUGAUAGGGGUUUCUCUAGCUAUUUUCGGGUUUAAAGAAAAUCGAUUUUUCGCAUAUUCAAAGUGCUAUAAUUCCGUUAGUUUUUCUCGAAACUCAUUAUAACCCGGUGUUUUCGUGUUGCAGGUGAUGGAAACAAGCCGCUGGUAUAGUUAGUUCAAAUUCGAAAAAAAUCAGUUUUUGGUGAAAAAUUUGAUACGGGGGGGUAUACCCUAAAAAUGAAAAAUCUCAAACUUUGGAGGUCCAUAUCUCGGCUUCUAUGGGUCCUAUCGGGAAAAUUCCAACGGUUUUGACUUAGUUUCGUCCUUCUGAAUCCAACGAGACCAUCCGCAAGGUCGUAGCUCCCAUAUUAGCUGAGAUCUCGCAUUUUUAUAGCCCAUUUUUGGGCUCAAAAACGGGGUCAAAAAUUGACUUUUUUCCGAAUUUUCAAAGUGCUAUAAUUCCACUUGUUCUGGUCGAAUUCUGUUAUAACCCGGUGUUUUCGUAAUAUUGGUGAUAAGAAUAAGCCGCUGAUAGGGGUUUCUCUAGCUAUUUUCGGGUUUAAAGAAAAUCAAUUUUUCGCAUAUUCAAAGUGCUAUAAUUCCGUUAGUUUUUCUCGAAACUCAUUAUAACCCGGUGUUUUCGUGUUGCAGGUGAUGGAAACAAGCCGCUGGUAUAGUUAGUUCAAAUUCGAAAAAAAUCAGUUUUUGGUGAAAAAUUUGAUACGGGGGGGUAUACCCUAAAAAUGAAAAAUCUCAAACUUUGGAGGUCCAUAUCUCGGCUUCUAUGGGUCCUAUCGGGAAAAUUCCAACGGUUUUGACUUAGUUUCGUCCUUCUGAAUCCAACGAGA
This 4201-nucleotide long non-coding RNA is filed under the name Anthonomus grandis grandis. RNAcentral's name for it is "uncharacterized LOC126735095". The record is from RNAcentral. Lineage: Eukaryota; Metazoa; Arthropoda; Insecta; Coleoptera; Curculionidae.